RNAcentral lists this long non-coding RNA (285 nucleotides) under Elaeis guineensis (African oil palm). RNAcentral's name for it is "long non-coding RNA (EGUI_LNC057597)". Lineage: Eukaryota; Viridiplantae; Streptophyta; Magnoliopsida; Arecales; Arecaceae. The record is from RNAcentral.
CAUGAGCUGACCAUGAAGUAAUAUUCUGAAGAAGAGACCAGAAGAAAGAAGAUAAUUUCUCUCAAAUCAACGGGUCAAGAAGAAGAAGAUUCAGAAAAUUAGAAAAUAGUGAAGAUGAUGAGGAUUUAGCAUUGAUCACAAAAAAAUUCAGACGGUUUAUGAAGAAAAGAAGACAAGGGAUCAAGAGAAGACCAUUAGUUGAGGGAGCUGAGUAAAAAUAAAAGAAUAGCCCAUCAUUUGUUAUGAAUGUAAGAAGCUAGACCACUUUAGAUCGGAUUACCACUU